RNAcentral lists this long non-coding RNA (475 nucleotides) under Gigantopelta aegis. RNAcentral's name for it is "uncharacterized LOC121384510, transcript variant X2". The record is from RNAcentral. Lineage: Eukaryota; Metazoa; Mollusca; Gastropoda; Neomphalida; Peltospiridae.
CGAUGAUGAAAGCGCAGAAUUGAAAGAAACGCCCCAAGUCGAGAUUAGUUUGUUUGACAAGGGGCAAGGCUGAGCCAAUAGCGAGGAGGCCGACUGGAAAUUGAUAGAUUAGUGAAAGGCUUUUUAAUACAGUUUGUUAUUAUAGUUCUUCGGGCGAUUGCUCGUUCAAUUAGGAACGAUUGUCCCAACUUUGCAAAAUAUUUGCACUCAGGACUAAUAACAUGUUUUGACCCGGAGUUCUGCCCAAAGGACACAAUGACAGCUGAAGUCUUUAGGUUCUCACCAAGACUGCACAAUUAAGGACAUCAUGUUGGGUGAAUUAAUAAAUAGAGUUGGAAUGUUGACGUUUGUUGAAGAAGCCAUCCACACUAUUAUAAAUUUCUGUGAUGAUAGAACAAAUGUUUAAUAGUAGUCUUUUUAACAAUUAAACUUAAAUAUUAAACACAUUUGUAUUUUGAACGUCACAGUGUUCAUG